Molecule: ribosomal RNA, 406 nt
Filed under: uncultured bacterium
Lineage: Bacteria
Description: partial 16S ribosomal RNA
Rfam family: Bacterial small subunit ribosomal RNA
Source: RNAcentral
AUUGAACGCUGGCGGCAGGCCUAACACAUGCAAGUCGAACGCGUGGCGGACGCGUGUGUGAUGUCUCUGAAACUCCCCGUUGGAGGGGGAUAUCUACUGUAAACGCUAUCUAAUAUACCAUACCACCUCAUAUGCCCCGAUGGGAUUAGCUAGUAGUUGGGGUAACGGCUCACCUAGGCGACGAUCCCUAGCUGGUCUGAGAGGAUGACCAGCCACACUGGAACUGAGACACGGUCCAGACUCCUACGGGAGGCAGCAGUGGGGAAUAUUGCACAAUGGGCGCAAGCCUGAUGCAGCCAUGCCGCGUGUAUGAAGAAGGCCUUCGGGUGGUAAAGUACUUUCAGCGGGGAGGCGUUACUCGCAGAAGAAGCACCGGCUAACUCCGUGCCAGCAGUCGCGGUAAUAC